This 405-nucleotide ribosomal RNA is filed under the name uncultured bacterium. RNAcentral describes it as "bacterial SSU rRNA". It matches the Rfam family "Bacterial small subunit ribosomal RNA", at positions 28 to 424 of the family's 1533-position model. The record is from RNAcentral.
GACGAACGCUGGCGGCGCGCUUAACACAUGCAAGUCGAACGGGGUCCUUCCUUCGGGGGAGGGUUCAGUGGCGAACGGGUGCGUAACACGUGAGCAACCUGCCGGGUGGUGGGGGAUAACCCAUGGAAACGUGGGCUAAUACCGCAUGAGUUCAGCCUUUCGAGUGAAGGGUUGAGGAAAGGUGCUGCAAGGCACUGCCAUCUGAGGGGCUCGCGGCGUAUCAGCUAGUUGGUGGGGUAACGGCUCACCAAGGCAGCGACGCGUAGCCGAUCUGAGAGGAUGAUCGGCCACAUUGGGACUGAGAUACGGCCCAGACUCCUACGGGAGGCAGCAGUGGGGAAUCUUGCGCAAUGGGCGAAAGCCUGACGCAGCGACGCCGCGUGCGGGAGGAAGCUCGUUCGGGGU